UGCAGUCGACGGCAGCACGGGUGCUUGCACCUGGUGGCGAGUGGCGAACGGGUGAGUAAUGCAUCGGAACGUACCGUGUAAUGGGGGAUAACGUGGCGAAAGUCACGCUAAUACCGCAUACGCCCUGAGGGGGAAAGCGGGGGCUCGCAAGACCUCGCGUUAUACGAUCGGCCGAUGUCUGAUUAGCUUGUUGGUGGGGUAAAGGCCCACCAAGGCGACGAUCAGUAGCGGGUCUGAGAGGAUGAUCCGCCACACUGGGACUGAGACACGGCCCAGACUCAUACGGGAGGCAGCAGUGGGGAAUUUUGGACAAUGGGGGCAACCCUGAUCCAGCCAUGCCGCGUGAGUGAAGAAGGCCUUCGGGUUGUAAAGCUCUUUCAGUCGGAACGAAACGGUUCGCUCUAACAUAGCGUGCUAAAGACGGUACUGACAGAAGAAGCACCGGCUAACUACGUGCCA
RNAcentral lists this ribosomal RNA (459 nucleotides) under uncultured bacterium. Its description in RNAcentral is "bacterial SSU rRNA". It matches the Rfam family "Bacterial small subunit ribosomal RNA", at positions 56 to 510 of the family's 1533-position model. The record is from RNAcentral.